RNAcentral lists this ribosomal RNA (253 nucleotides) under uncultured bacterium. RNAcentral describes it as "partial 16S ribosomal RNA". It matches the Rfam family "Bacterial small subunit ribosomal RNA", at positions 524 to 776 of the family's 1533-position model. The record is from RNAcentral.
UACGUAGGUGGCAAGCGUUGUCCGGAAUUAUUGGGCGGAAAGCGCGCGCAGGCGGUCUUUUAAGUCUGAUGUGAAAUCUCGUGGCUCAACCACGAACGGUCAUUGGAAACUGGGGGACUUGAGUACAGAAGAGGAGAGUGGAAUUCCACGUGUAGCGGUGAAAUGCGUAGAGAUGUGGAGGAACACCAGUGGCGAAGGCGACUCUCUGGUCUGUAACUGACGCUGAGGAGCGAAAGCGUGGGGAGCGAACAGG